This 826-nucleotide ribosomal RNA is filed under the name Salmonella enterica. Its description in RNAcentral is "partial 23S ribosomal RNA". It matches the Rfam family "Bacterial large subunit ribosomal RNA", at positions 1 to 867 of the family's 2925-position model. Lineage: Bacteria; Pseudomonadati; Pseudomonadota; Gammaproteobacteria; Enterobacterales; Enterobacteriaceae. The record is from RNAcentral. RNAcentral also lists the same sequence under 1 other name.
GGUUAAGCGACUAAGCGUACACGGUGGAUGCCCUGGCAGUCAGAGGCGAUGAAGGGCGUGCUAAUCUGCGAUAAGCGCCGGUAAGGUGAUAUGAACCGUUAUAACCGGCGAUACCCGAAUGGGGAAACCCAGUGUGACUCGUCACACUAUCAUUAACUGAAUCCAUAGGUUAAUGAGGCGAACCGGGGGAACUGAAACAUCUAAGUACCCCGAGGAAAAGAAAUCAACCGAGAUUCCCCCAGUAGCGGCGAGCGAACGGGGAGGAGCCCAGAGCCUGAAUCAGCAUGUGUGUUAGUGGAAGCGUCUGGAAAGGCGCGCGAUACAGGGUGACAGCCCCGUACACAAAAGCGCAUGUGCUGUGAGCUCGAUGAGUAGGGCGGGACACGUGGUAUCCUGUCUGAAUAUGGGGGGACCAUCCUCCAAGGCUAAAUACUCCUGACUGACCGAUAGUGAACCAGUACCGUGAGGGAAAGGCGAAAAGAACCCCGGCGAGGGGAGUGAAAAAGAACCUGAAACCGUGUACGUACAAGCAGUGGGAGCACAGGUUUACCUGUGUGACUGCGUACCUUUUGUAUAAUGGGUCAGCGACUUAUAUUCUGUAGCAAGGUUAACCGAAUAGGGGAGCCGGAGGGAAACCGAGUCUUAAUUGGGCGUUAAGUUGCAGGGUAUAGACCCGAAACCCGGUGAUCUAGCCAUGGGCAGGUUGAAGGUUGGGUAACACUAACUGGAGGACCGAACCGACUAAUGUUGAAAAAUUAGCGGAUGACCUGUGGCUGGGGGUGAAAGGCCAAUCAAACCGGGAGAUAGCUGGUUCUCCCCGAAAGCU